GAGACUCUGUGCGCGUGCAUAUCAAUAAGCGGAGGAAAAGAAACUAACAAGGAUUCCCUUAGUAACGGCGAGUGAAGCGGGAAGAGCUCAAAUUUGAAAUCUUCAAGGUUUUACCUUGACGAAUUGUAGUUUAUAGAAGUGUUUUCUGUUAGUAGAGUGGCAAAAGUUCUUUGGAAUAGGACAUCAUAGAGGGUGAGAAUCCCGUAUUUGGUCAUUCCUCCUAGCUUUGUGAUACACUUUCAACGAGUCGGAUUGUUUGGGAAUGCAGUCCAAGAUGGGUGGUAAAUUUCAUCUAAAGCUAAAUAUUGGCGAGAGACCGAUAGCGAACAAGUACCGUGAGGGAAAGAUGAAAAGAACUUUGAAAAGAGAGUUAAACAGUACGUGAAAUUGUCAAAAGGGAAGCGUUUGACACCAGUGUUGUUUAGUUCCGAAAAUCAAUUCACUAAUUUUUGAUUUUAAGUAGUUAUGACUUCAUCAGCUUGCUGCUUUCUUCUACAGAAACUUCUUGAAUGCACUUUUCAGUUAACAAGUCAACAUCAAUUUCUUUUGUUGUAAAAGGGUACGAGGAAGGUGGCUUGCGCUUUCGGAUAAAGUGUUUAUAGCCUUGUAUCCUCUGCAAUCGGAGAGAUUGAGGUCUGCAGCGUAGAUCCUUCGGGGUUAGAUACACUUGUGCUAAGCUAUAGCCUUGUAUAGACAACUUGUUGACUAUGCUCAGUCAUGUAGCUUACUCGCUUGUGCUAUUUUACCUACGCUUAGGAUGUUGACAGCAGUAUAGACUGU
Molecule: ribosomal RNA, 780 nt
Filed under: uncultured Neocallimastigales
Lineage: Eukaryota; Fungi; Neocallimastigomycota; Neocallimastigomycetes; Neocallimastigales
Description: partial large subunit ribosomal RNA
Rfam family: Eukaryotic large subunit ribosomal RNA
Source: RNAcentral